This 495-nucleotide ribosomal RNA is filed under the name uncultured bacterium. RNAcentral's name for it is "partial 16S ribosomal RNA". It matches the Rfam family "Bacterial small subunit ribosomal RNA", at positions 28 to 507 of the family's 1533-position model. The record is from RNAcentral.
GACGAACGCUGGCGGCGUGCCUAAUACAUGCAAGUAGAACGCUGAAGGAGGAGCUUGCUUCUCUGGAUGAGUUGCGAACGGGUGAGUAACGCGUAGGUAACCUGCCUGGUAGCGGGGGAUAACUAUUGGAAACGAUAGCUAAUACCGCAUAAGAGUAGAUGUUGCAUGACAUUUGCUUAAAAGGUGCAAUUGCAUCACUACCAGAUGGACCUGCGUUGUAUUAGCUAGUUGGUGAGGUAACGGCUCACCAAGGCAACGAUACAUAGCCGACCUGAGAGGGUGAUCGGCCACACUGGGACGGAGACACGGCCCAGACUACUACGGGAGGCAGCAGGAGGGAAUCUUCGGCAAUGGACGGAAGUCUGACCGAGCAACGCCGCGUGAGUGAAGAAGGGUUUCGGAUCGUAAAGCUCUGUUGUAAGAGAAGAACGAGUGUGAGAGUGGAAAGUUCACACUGUGACGGUAUCUUACCAGAAAGGGACGGCUAACUACGUG